This 1514-nucleotide ribosomal RNA is filed under the name metagenome. RNAcentral's name for it is "bacterial SSU rRNA". It matches the Rfam family "Bacterial small subunit ribosomal RNA". The record is from RNAcentral.
AGAGUUUGAUCCUGGCUCAGAGCGAACGCUGGCGGCGUGCUUAACACAUGCAAGUCGAACGUGAAUUGGCUUCGGCCAUAGUAAAGUGGCGUACGGGUGAGUAACACGUAGGUAAUCUACCUUACAGUUUGGAAUAACCUGCCGAAAGGCGGGCUAAUACUGGAUAGAGCGAUGGAAUUCGUAAUUGGAUUCUUCGGGAAAGGGAGCUCGAUAAGAGCCUUCGCUGUAAGAUGAGCCUGCGUCUGAUUAGCUAGUUGGUAAGGUAAUGGCUUACCAAGGCGAUGAUCAGUAGCUGGUCUGAGAGGAUGAUCAGCCACACUGGAACUGAAACACGGUCCAGACUCCUACGGGAGGCAGCAGUGGGGAAUCUUGCGCAAUGGACGAAAGUCUGACGCAGCCACGCCGCGUGAGUGAAGAAGGCCUUCGGGUUGUAAAGCUCUGUCGCUUGGGACGAAAAACUUAUUAGUGAAUAGCUAGUAAGUCUGACGGUACCAAGAGAGGAAGCACCGGCUAACUUCGUGCCAGCAGCCGCGGUAAUACGAGGGGUGCAAGCGUUGCUCGGAAUUAUUGGGCGUAAAGGGUAGGUAGGUGGUCUUAUUUGUCUGAGGUGAAAUCCCGGGGCUUAACUCCGGAAGUGCCUUAGAAACGGUAAGACUGGAGUGCUAGAGAGGUUUGUGGAAUUCCCAGUGUAGCGGUGAAAUGCGUAGAGAUUGGGAGGAACACCAGAAGCGAAGGCGGCAAACUGGCUAGAUACUGACACUGAACUAUGAAAGCGUGGGUAGCAAACAGGAUUAGAUACCCUGGUAGUCCACGCUGUAAACGAUGGGUACUAGGCUUUGUGGGAAUUGACCCCUGCGGAGCCGGAGCUAACGCGAUAAGUACCCCGCCUGGGAAGUACGGUCGCAAGACUAAAACUCAAAGGAAUUGACGGGGGCCCGCACAAGCGGUGGAUCACGUGGUUUAAUUCGAAGCAACGCGCAGAACCUUACCUAGGUUUGUCAUCCUCUGACCGCUGUAGAAAUACAGUUUUUGUAGCAAUACAACAGAGAGACAGGUGCUGCAUGGCUGUCGUCAGCUCGUGUGGUGACAUGUUGGGUUAAGUCCCGCAACGAGCGCAACCCUUGCCUUUAGUUGCCAGCAUUCAGUUGGGCACUCUAGAGGGACUGCCGUGGUUAACACGGAGGAAGGUGGGGAUGACGUCAAGUCCUCAUGGCCUUUAUAUCUAGGGCGACACACGUGAUACAAUGGAUGGUACAGAGGGAAGCGAACCCGCGAGGGGGAGCGAAUCUCAAAAAGCCAUUCUCAGUUCGGAUUGGAGUCUGCAACUCGACUCCAUGAAGUUGGAAUCGCUAGUAAUCGCGGAUCAGAACGCCGCGGUGAAUACGUUCCCGGGCCUUGUACACACCGCCCGUCACACCAUGGGAGUUGACUCAACCAGAAAACGAUCAUGCUAACCGUAAGGAGGCAUUUGUUGAAGGUGGGGUUGAUGACUGGGGUGAAGUCGUAACAAGGUA